UACGGCUCAGUAACACGUGGACAACCUAACCUAUGGAGGGGGAUAACCCCGGGAAACUGGGGAUAAUACCCCAUAGACUAUGGAUGCUGGAAUGCUCUGUAGUUGAAAGGUCCGCCGCCAUAGGAUGGGUCUGCGGCCGAUUAGGUUGUUGUUGGGGUAACGGCCCAACAAGCCUGUAAUCGGUACGGGUUGUGGGAGCAAGAGCCCGGAGAUGGAUUCUGAGACACGAAUCCAGGCCCUACGGGGCGCAGCAGGCGCGAAAACUUUACAAUGCGGGAAACCGUGAUAAGGGAACUCCGAGUGCCCGUAAAAUCGGGCUGUCCAUCUGUUUAAAUAACAGGCGAAGAAAGGGCCGGGCAAGACCGGUGCCAGCCGCCGCGGUAAUACCGGCGGCUCGAGUGGUGGCCACUAUUACUGGGCUUAAAGCGUUCGUAGCUGGUUUGUUAAGUCUCUGGGGAAAUCUGCCGGCUCAACCGGCAGGCGUUCCAGGGAUACUGGCAGACUAGGGACCGGGAGAGGUGAGGGGUACUCCAGGGGUAGGAGUGAAAUCCUGUAAUCCUUGGGGGACCACCUGUGGCGAAGGCGCCUCACCAGAACGGCUCCGACAGUGAGGGACGAAAGCUGGGGGAGCAAACCGGAUUAGAUACCCGGGUAGUCCCAGCCGUAAACGAUGCGCGUUAGGUGUAUCGGUGACCACGAGUCACCGAGGUGCCGAAGAGAAAUCGUGAAACGUGCCGCCUGGGAAGUACGGUCGCAAGGCUGAAACUUAAAGGAAUUGGCGGGGGAGCACCACAACAGGUGGAGCCUGCGGUUUAAUCGGACUCAACGCCGGAAAUCUCACCGGAUAAGACAGCUGGAUGAUAGUCGGGCUGAAGACUCUACUUGACUAGCUGAGAGGAGGUGCAUGGCCGUCGUCAGUUCGUACUGUGAAGCAUCUUGUUAAGUCAGGCAACGAGCGAGACCCCCGCCAA
RNAcentral lists this ribosomal RNA (971 nucleotides) under uncultured archaeon. Its description in RNAcentral is "bacterial SSU rRNA". It matches the Rfam family "Archaeal small subunit ribosomal RNA", at positions 84 to 1060 of the family's 1478-position model. The record is from RNAcentral.